Molecule: ribosomal RNA, 497 nt
Filed under: uncultured bacterium
Lineage: Bacteria
Description: partial 16S ribosomal RNA
Rfam family: Bacterial small subunit ribosomal RNA
Source: RNAcentral
GAUGAACGCUGGCGGCAUGCCUAAUACAUGCAAGUCGAACGAACGGACGAGAAGCUUGCUUCUCUGAUUUUAGCGGCGGACGGGUGAUUAACACGUGGAUAACCUACCUAUAAGACUGGGAUAACUUCGCGAAACCGUAGCUAAUACCGGAUAAUAUUUUGAACCGCAUGGUUCAAAAGUGAAAUACGGUCUUGCUGUCACUUAUAGAUGGAUCCGCGCUGCAUUAGCUAGUUGGUAAGGUAACGGCUUACCAAGGCAACGAUGCAUAGCCGACCUGAGAGGGUGAUCGGCCACACUGGAACUGAGGCAGAGUCCAGACUCCUAGGGGAGGCAGCAGUAGGGAAUCUUACGCGAUGGGCGAAAGCCUAACGGAGGAAAGCGGGGUGAGUGAUGAAGGUCUACGGAUCGUAAAACUCUGUUAGUAGGGAAGAAGAAAUGUGUAAGUAACUGUGAAGAUCAUGACGGUACCGAAAGAGAAAGCCCCGGCUAACUACGUG